GACGAACGCUGGCGGCGUGCUUAACACAUGCAAGUCGAACGGUAAGGCCCUUCGGGGUACACGAGUGGCGAACGGGUGAGUAACACGUGGGUGAUCUGCCCUGCACUUCGGGAUAAGCCUGGGAAACUGGGUCUAAUACCGGAUAGGACCCUGGGAUGCAUGUCCUGGGGUGGAAAGCUUUUGCGGUGUGGGAUGGGCCCGCGGCCUAUCAGCUUGUUGGUGGGGUGAUGGCCUACCAAGGCGACGACGGGUAGCCGGCCUGGGAGGGUGGCCGGCCACACUGGGACUGCGAUACGUCCCAGACUCCUUCGGGAGGCAGCAGUGGGGAAUAUUGCACAAUGGGCGCAAGCCUUAUGCAGCGACGCCGCGUGAGGGAUGACGGCCUUCGGGUUGUAACCCUCUUUCAGCACCGACGAAGCGCAAGUGACGGUAGGUGCAGAAGAAGGACCGGCCAACUACGUGCCAGCCGCCGCCGUAA
Molecule: ribosomal RNA, 478 nt
Filed under: uncultured bacterium
Lineage: Bacteria
Description: partial 16S ribosomal RNA
Rfam family: Bacterial small subunit ribosomal RNA
Source: RNAcentral